UCUCGCAGCUGGUUCAGUUACUACAAGACGCGCGUCUAAACGGUCGAUGAAACGGAAACACCUAAAACUCAAAGCAGGCGCGUGCCUUGGAAAAAUAGUAAACGAUACCAGCAAGAGAAAUACGAUAAUUUGAAAAGAGAAAUUUUUAGAAUUUGUGACCAAGAAGAAAUGUGAAUUACUAAAUACAUUUGUAACCUGAAGUGCACAGCAUGAAGUGAAGCUGGAAAAGAAAAAGCAACAAGCGUUUGUUGGAAACGGUUAUCAAAAAAAAAAAAAACAACAAGAAUAAAUCAAAAUGAAGCAAAAAACAAUAUUGAGUGUAACCCAAGAAAAUUUCCCAAAUCAGCGAAAAAAGCACGAAAAUCUACGUUGAAAUGGAACCAAAUAACAAUAAAAGAAGUAGUAGUAAAAGUCUCAGUUAUCAUUUGCUGACCUUCAUUAGCUACUCUUCCAACUAAACAGAAAUAAGCAACACCAAUUAGGACAAUAUGACACGCGUUCGGCAAAUUGUGGGAACAAAUACAGUUUAGGCAAGCACUUGGUGUGAAGACAAGUUUCCGGACACUGACGCAGGAAAAUCGAUUCUCACGGAUUGAUAUGUUUAGACAUAGUGAAAUGAAGGCUGAAGACGAAGAACGGAGUGGACGCCCAAAGGAGAAUGUUAAUCACGAAAACAUAAAAAGUCCACAAAAUUUUAUUGGAUAAGCAAGCUCUGUGCAAAGUGGGUGCAGCGCGAACUCACUUUUGAGGAAAAACGUAGAAGUGUUGAUGAUUCGUAGCAGUCUUUAGAGAUGUUGAAGCGUAAUAAACCCGGGAUUUUGCGUCGAUGUAUAACAAUGGGUGAAACAUGGCUACAUCAUUUCAUUGUGAAGUCUAAUCGACAGUCAUCGGAGUUAACUGCACACAAUAAACGCGCUCCAAACUAUGUUAAAUAAACGAAAACGACGUUUGCCAAAAGAUGUGUUUUACUAUCACAAGCCGGGGACUUUUUAAUUGAGCUUUUAUUCCAGAACUAGUGCGAGGGUUAUGAAAGCAUCAAAUUGAAAAUCGAUGCGAUGAGUGGCUCCAUCUAUGGCACACUAUGCCCGCUCCGUAGCCACUCAAGCGGCUGACAGAGACAAUGCAAGCAACACCUCCACCAGCACCACAGUCGGUGGCAAUGUGCUGGUGUUGGUUUAUAACUAUGACAUCUACUACUGCCAAGUACCACGCUCUAUCAAUCAUGUGUACCGCUAACGCGCGAUGCAGAGCCUGGCAUCCGCUACAACGGCAUACCCGAUUGGCUAUAUGAAGCACUGAUCAAUGUCUAACUGGAUGUGCUAUCUUCCGCACUGCUUUUCACACACACACAUGAAUUUAAAGUGUAGAACGUAAUUGGAAUACCAAAAAUAUGCGGCGUUCAGCACGUUCUUCGAUGACCAUUUGCUCAAUCAACUUCUUCACCGGCCUACUCAUCAUUGCUGUUGUUGCUGGCCUUGCUACGGCUCCUGCUGCUGAUGCCUACUGCCGCUGCCUGCUUCUUGUGCUUUGUAGAAGAAAUCCUGCACUUAAAUAAUACAAUUUGGCUUUCGGAGAAUGUACACUUAAUGUUCCAAGAUGUGUUCAAUGACUCGCUAAUGCAUUUCGCUUGGUAUGAUACAACAACUGGCAGCAAUGCGAAUGCGUAUCUCUAUUCGGAAAUCAGAUCAUCAAGGAUUGCGCCACUAUAGUCUCACAAAACGGUCAUCGCACAGCGAUAACCCUGCGCACACGGAAACUACCAUGAAGCGACUAGGUAGUGCCACACCAACUUGGGUCACCGCAAUAAUAGGACACGAUCACAUUUGUAAAGUUUUGUUACAAGACGGUGAUUUUUUGGAUUCCGUACGCUGAGUGACGUUGCAACGCCAUGCCUCGAGACGACGUCUGUGACUGAACUCUUGACCUAACUACGCUGAUAGAAGAGAGAAAAAUUUCUUUGUUAAAAAAUAGGACAUUUAAAAAAAGUAUUACAAAAAUCAUGCGUCAAAAGUUUUUUCGAAAAAAUAUUAUUGAAAUUCAUAUUAUGACAUACAUAUCGGCACUUAAAUUGCAAAACCCUGUAUCAUAAAAAAAAUUUGAAAUAAAUAUUGCAUACUAUAUAUGUAUCACUAACUUUUAAGCUUCCGCUGACCAAUAUAUCCAAUAUAUAAUCAUUUCAUAACCAAAACACACUUUUGGUUUCAAUAUCAGUGGCUUCUAUUAUAUAGUUUUUAAUUCGUCUGUAAACUUAUGAAAAGUGAUGUUAAGUUAUUUUGCAUUUUAGGAGACGAUAUAUACAGAUUAAUUUAUGUUAUAGUAAUUUCUAAGUUAUUGAAAAAGUGUUAGCGGAGAGUUGAUUGAAAAAGUAAAAUAAAAGAGUUAUGAAUAUUUUAAAAACAAU
Bactrocera neohumeralis is the source of this 2401-nucleotide long non-coding RNA. RefSeq lists it as uncharacterized. The record is from RefSeq and is a predicted model, not a curated record. The transcript has 7 exons. Lineage: Eukaryota; Metazoa; Arthropoda; Insecta; Diptera; Tephritidae.